Molecule: transfer RNA, 72 nt
Filed under: bacterium
Lineage: Bacteria
Description: tRNA-Arg
Rfam family: tRNA
About the family: Transfer RNA (tRNA) molecules are approximately 80 nucleotides in length. Their secondary structure includes four short double-helical elements and three loops (D, anti-codon, and T loops). Further hydrogen bonds mediate the characteristic L-shaped molecular structure. tRNAs have two regions of fundamental functional importance: the anti-codon, which is responsible for specific mRNA codon recognition, and the 3' end, to which the tRNAs corresponding amino acid is attached (by aminoacyl-tRNA synthetases). tRNAs cope with the degeneracy of the genetic code in two manners: having more than one tRNA (with a specific anti-codon) for a particular amino acid; and 'wobble' base-pairing, i.e. permitting non-standard base-pairing at the 3rd anti-codon position.
Source: RNAcentral
GCCCUCGUAGCACAAUGGAUAGUGUAUAGCCCUCCGAAGGCUGGGAUGCGCGUUCGAUUCGCGCCGAGGGCA